GAUGUAAUUAUCCGCCCCCCCCCCCCUUAGGGAGGGCNGUCUAAAUAAUAUCAUAUUCAACAACACCCUUAUUAAUGUAACACNCNNNNCUAUUUUUAAAAUGUUCGUCCUGGUUUUGUAACUAAAAUGGUUUGGCAGUGAGCGAUUCUUGUUAGGGGAAGAUGCAUAGUAAAGGAUGGUCCACCUAUUAUUUCACUCUUGUUAUGUUGGUGUAUAUCUGGUUUGAUAUUAUCGUUUAAUGGUUUGAGUUUGUGUAGUUUUAGUUAAGCCAAGUCUAUGUGCUGCUUAUGGGAGNNNUGNNGUNC
Molecule: ribosomal RNA, 305 nt
Filed under: Echinococcus intermedius
Lineage: Eukaryota; Metazoa; Platyhelminthes; Cestoda; Cyclophyllidea; Taeniidae
Description: partial 12S ribosomal RNA
Source: RNAcentral